UGAGCACUUCAUUAUGCCUUCCCUGGUCCCCAUCUGCUCAUAACUGGAACGUGGGCCAUAGGGUAGCACCUUUCUUAGUGUAACAGGCACUCAGUUUUGAGAUGGGGGGGCAAGAAAUACAAGGACCGUGAACCAGCCGAUUACCACAUAAGCCCUGGGUGGAGGCUAAACUGCAAAAAUGUAGGGCUGGAAGGGGGCUGGAGAGAUUUUCAAGUCCAAACCCCCCGCUACACUCCUCCCUGCCCCACCCCAAAGCAGCACCAACUGCUGCCACCCCAGCCUCCAGGGUUUCCCCCUCCACACCCGUGGAACCCCUGAGCCAGAUAAGGAGGAGGAAGAAGGGGAUGCCGAGUUCAAAGAGAUCCUGCAAACCAGUGGUGCAUCAGACCAUGAGCAUGGGACCUGGAGGGUGCCUACUGCAGACAGCCCAACAAAAGAAAGACCAGAGAGGAGAAAGGCCCAGCAGGAAAAUGAGAUGAUGCACCAGGACAUAAUGGGGCUGCUUAGGCAGUUGGUGGUGCUGCAGGUUCAACAAUUCCAGGUUCACCUCCCUCUGAAGCCCAUUGAGAACUUAAUAUUGGGCCCUUCCUAACUACUCCCCCCCAAUACUCUCUGUGGCAGUGGGGUCGCUACACUACCCCUUCCACUCCCCCCCAGGGGACAUUACACAUACUUACAGCUUCACAUACACUGACCCGGGAAGGCCCACAGCUGGUGUAGGUGAAAAAUAAAAUGAAAUAAAUUGAGAAUAAAACUUACAAAGUUUUUAAUGUAUUUGUGUUAGAGUUGCAUGGGGGUUUUUUACACUGAU
Molecule: long non-coding RNA, 811 nt
Organism: Malaclemys terrapin pileata
Lineage: Eukaryota; Metazoa; Chordata; Testudines; Emydidae
Exons: 4
Source: RefSeq, a predicted model, not a curated record